This 382-nucleotide unclassified non-coding RNA is filed under the name uncultured bacterium. RNAcentral's name for it is "contains 16S-23S intergenic spacer region". The record is from RNAcentral.
UCCGGUUUGUCACCGGCAGUCUCCUUAGAGUGCCCACCAUAACGUGCUGGUAACUAAGGACAAGGGUUGCGCUCGUUACGGGACUUAACCCAACAUCUCACGACACGAGCUGACGACAGCCAUGCAGCACCUGUGUUCCGGUUCCCUUGCGGGCACCCCCGGCUUUCACCAGGCUUCCGGACAUGUCAAGGGUAGGUAAGGUUGUUCGCGUUGCAUCGAAUUAAUCCACAUCAUCCACCGCUUGUGCGGGUCCCCGUCAAUUCCUUUGAGUUUUAGCCUUGCGGCCGUACUCCCCAGGCGGGGCGCUUAAUGCGUUAGCUGCGGCACGGAACCCGUGGAAGGGAUCCCACACCUAGCGCCCAACGUUUACGGCGUGGACUAC